CUGCUAACACAGAACAGAAUCUCCUUAAACAAAUGUGCUUUCUGCUAGUUUAAGCAACGUCUUGGACGCACCUGUGCAUCGAGUAUCCUGACGCCGUAGAAGAGCCAGUAGGACAUGGUGAGGAGGAGGGUGAGCGUGGUGAGGAAGGCCCGACACGCGCACACCCUCGGCAGGCUGGCGCGGGCCGGCCGCAGAAACAAGGCCCAUAUGGCGGUGAGGAGCAUGAGAAGCUUGAAGGACAGGGACAGGAAGAGACCCUCGCAGGCGGCGCCGCACGGCUGCAGCCUCUCGGGCCACACGAUGACGGGUAGAAGCAGGAAAACCAGAGGGGUGGCCAGCACCAGCAGGCCCCCGCACACGCCCACAGCGAGGGGGAGAUAGCGGCGGAAGCUUCUGGUCCGGUCCUGUAUGCCCUUUCCCAAGCCGACCACUUCCUCCUGGGAGAUGCUGAGCUCCGAAGUGCCCGUCACCGCCGUGGUGGUCUCUCCCCAGUUAUCAUCCUGCAGACAAUCUUGGACUUUCAUAAUGGGAAGUCUUCAAACACGCUUUGAUGUAAUGUAGGACGGCACGCAUGCAUGCAGGGGGACGCACACUCUGACGUGAGGAUCCGACGCCGCCGGCAUGGGCUCUCCUGGCAGUGGCUCGCCGUUGUGCACCGGAGAAUCCUGGGAGGACGUCUCUGGAGGAUUAAUGAUGACGGACUUUUCCGAGCGGCUGCUGUCUUUACUGCUGCUAGCCUUGUGGCGCUCUCGAGCUCGCUCGCUGGAUGAAAGACACGCACAGAAGAGCACGUGAGGUCAAGGAAACGUCAUCACAAGCGCGGGACACAACAUUAGAUGUCUUGUAUAUAUAGAGGUAGAACAAUUUUGGUCCUAGUAUUGACCCCUGGGGCACACCAUGUCACGGCGCAUGCGCAGUCUCGCAUGUCUUCUGCUACAAGCUCUGCCGGCGCCUCCGCUGGCAGCACGCCAGGACACGUCCCUGCUCGCUCUGGCCACAUUGCGGCCACGCACCGGCAAGGCUGCAGGCGAUCAGCAAUCAGCACACCUGGGACUGAUGAAGGCGAGCAGUACAAAGACCAGCGGACCCGAAGAUCCUGAGCCGGAACGUAGUUAACUCCUCGUAUACUUCCUGUGUCUCCCGUGAUCGAGCUGUGUGCCUCGCCUUCCCUCUGGACUUUGGAUUGCCUCCCUCGGUCCUCGACCUCUGCUUGGACACAGACCCCUUUUGACACCUCGCUAUACCCCCCGACAACCUGCCUGUCUCACGGACACUCGAGCCUACCUUUCCCCUUCGGGACUUCCGCCUCCCUCGGUAAAAGCCAAGAUGGUCGCAGCAGGACACGAUCCGCACCCGCCUUUAUCUUUUCAAAAUAAAAGAUUACGAUGAUCGAUGAAGAGAUUCGCUCCUACCUUUCCUCCUCGUCAUUCCUUCUGUGGAGAGAGGCGCGUCUCUUCCCUCACUCGAUAUCGGCCAUUGUGAGAGGAGAUAUAGAUGGAUGCAUGUCAUCGGGAGGAACACCUGCCUCCCUCCACGGGCAGAACACCCCCACCCCAAAAUGAGUGACCGUCAUUUGACAGAACCGCUCAAUGGAGGACAACAAACCAGGUCUAAGCCCUCCUCUUCGUCAGUCUGGACACCAUCUGUUUACAAACACAGCCCCACAUCUUCCUCUUCAUCCUUGCAUUGUGUCAGCUGCUGAAUAAGCACUGGUGGGGAAGACAUUCGUUACAUAUUAUAUUUUUCAAUAUUUUUUUAUACAUGUAUAUAUACACUGUGGG
Molecule: long non-coding RNA, 1781 nt
Organism: Entelurus aequoreus (snake pipefish)
Lineage: Eukaryota; Metazoa; Chordata; Actinopteri; Syngnathiformes; Syngnathidae
Exons: 10
Source: RefSeq, a predicted model, not a curated record